Molecule: non-coding RNA, 123 nt
Organism: Pelobates cultripes (western spadefoot toad)
Lineage: Eukaryota; Metazoa; Chordata; Amphibia; Anura; Pelobatidae
Source: the annotation of a GenBank genome assembly
GUCCAAAACGCGUUUCGCCUGAUAUACAGGCUUCCUCAGUUGGCUCUGUGUUGUUUCCUUUCUAUUAGGACAACACAGAGCCAACUGAGGAAGCCUGUAUAUCAGGAGAAACGCAUUUUGGAC